Molecule: long non-coding RNA, 2094 nt
Filed under: Sus scrofa (pig)
Lineage: Eukaryota; Metazoa; Chordata; Mammalia; Artiodactyla; Suidae
Description: lncRNA (ENSSSCG00025017862.1, ENSSSCG00160025088.1)
Source: RNAcentral
CCUCAGCAUAUAGAGGUUUCCAGGCUAGGGGUCUAAUCCGAGCUACAGCUGCCGGCCUAUGCCACAGCCACAGCCACGCCAGAUCUGAGCUGCAUCUGCAAACUACACCACAGCUCACAGCAAUACCGGAUCCUUAACCCACUGAGCGAGGCCGGGGAUCGAACCCACAACCUCAUGAUUCCCAGUCAGACUCGUUUCUGCUGGGCCAUGACAGGAACUCCUCCACCUCAUUUUUGAACUUCUUCUAUGUCUAGUUUUGUUCAAGAUCACAGAUUUCAGAUUCUGGCACUUAGGGUAGCAAGGCCUUUUCUUCAGUCACCAUAGUCAUCUAAUUAAAGUAGUAAUCUUUAACCCUUUUUUCUUAUGUACCCCCCAAACAAUUUUGAAACAUUACAUAAUUACUUCUUAAACUGAUAUCUAAAAUUUUAAGCAUAAAUUUUCUUCUUUUUUUUUUUUUUUUUGGCUUUUUUGGGCUGCACCUACAGUACACGGAGGUUCCCAGGAUAGGGGUCUAAUCCGAGCUACAGCUGCUGGCCUAUACCACAGCCACAGCAACGCCAGAUCCAAGCUGUGCCUGUGACCUACACCACAGCUCACGGCAACACCAGAUCCUUUAACCCACAGAGUGAGGCCAGGGAUGCAACCUGCAACCUCAUGGUUCCUAGUUGGAUUUGUUUCCACUGCACCACUAUGGGAACUCCCUUAAGCAUAAAUUUAAAUAGUUGAAAAGAAUAUAAUUUUCAGGGUAUUGACAUUUAAAAAUUUUUCCAUUACUCUACUCAAUGAAAUUUGAAUAACAAUUUUAUAACAUUAUCCUUUAAAGAUAUACAUGGACAAGCUUUUUUCUAAUAGGAGGAAAUUUUGUUAUCAUUCCUUUUUCUCCCCAAACUCAUAUUUCCACUCCAUUUUCCCCAGAUAAUUUUAUCCAAAUAUAUUUUAUGCUUGAAAGUCUUUUGCUGAUCAUCCUAUCAUACUUUUGUUUGUUGUGUUGUAAUUUGUAUUUCCUGUGAUCAUAGGUUCAAAAUAUUAGCAAAAACAUCCUUCUGGAUUUACUUAUCAUUAUUAUUAUACUCCAUUAUUAAAUAUAAACAUAGAACACUAUUAGAACUACCCACAUCUGCGGCAUAUGGAAGUUAGGGGCUAGGGACUGAACCUGUACCACAACAGUGACCCAAGCCACUACACUGACAAUGCUGGAUCCUUAACCAGCGGUGCCACAAGAGAACUCCUACAACUACAUCUUUUUAACCAACAAAAAAUUUAAAAAAUAGUUUGUAUAUUCGUGCAUUAAUUUCACCUGCUAGAAUGAGAAAGUGUUCAGUGUCAAAUUUCUUUUUAGGUCUUAUUUUUAGAGAUGUUAGUACUAAGAAGACUUGUUCACAGAAGAAUGAACACUGUCUCAUAGCAAUGUUAUGCAACUUUUUAAGAAUCUUUCCAAGUUAUUAUGUCAAAUAUUACACAGUGAUCUGAAAGCAAAAUUAUUUAAAAUUAUCACUAAAACUCAAUUCAAUCCUCCUUCAAUUUUUUUGAGAGCAAAGCAUUGGAAACCACCUGACCAAUAUAGACACUGGAGAAAUUCACUAUCUCAAUUUCUGGGAAACAUAUCAAAAAGUCUUUACCAGAAUUUUUUUUUUUUUUUUGUAUUUUCAGGGCUGCAUCUGCAGCACAUGGACGUUCUCAGGCUAGGGGUGGAAUCGGAGCUGCAGCUGCCAGUCUAUUCCACAGCCACGGCAACACCAGAUCUGACCCUUAUCUGCGACCUACACCACAACUCACAGCAACACUGGAUCCUUAACCCACUGAGCGAGUCCUGGGAUUGAACCUGUGUCCUCAUGAAUACUAGUUGGGUUUGUUACUGCUGAGCCAUGAUGGCAACUCCAAGAAUUUACUAAAUGGGUAAUAAUUAUAGCAUUCUUAAUAUUAAAUUAUUAAAUAAAUAUUUAUUACUUAUUAAUUAAUUAAUACAGACCAUCUACCAAAAUUCUUUUGUGUUCACCAAAUUCAACUUCCCUUGCAGCUUCUUAGGGCCACAUGAUUAGGCACUGACCAGUGAAUAGUGAGCAGGAAUAAUGUGCUUCUGAGUAAGCUGGUGAG